GAACGCGACAGCGGCGUGCAAGCCACGGCAGCGGCGCUGUGGGGACAGCUGGGCUCGGACGUCUCUCUUCGAUGAAGGACGAGCGAGAAAAAGGAGCUUUUAGUUCGCUUAAGGAAGAGCCCAGCGACAACCACAUAAAGCUGGUAUAAGAAGAGCUGUGAUGAUCUCAGAGCAGCUCUCAAA
RNAcentral lists this long non-coding RNA (183 nucleotides) under Cyanistes caeruleus (blue tit). RNAcentral's name for it is "lncRNA (ENSCCEG00000010926.1)". Lineage: Eukaryota; Metazoa; Chordata; Aves; Passeriformes; Paridae. The record is from RNAcentral.